GAAGACGGUCAUAGCAGCCAGGAAACGCCCGUUCUCUUUCCGAACACGGAAGCUAAGCUGGUUGCGUCGGCAUGUUAGUCUCCCAACAGAGGCGAAGUUCCGAUGCUGUCUUCG
RNAcentral lists this ribosomal RNA (114 nucleotides) under Candidatus Pacearchaeota archaeon. The record is from RNAcentral. Lineage: Archaea; Nanobdellati.